AGAUGAGCGGCACCUUCGUUCCGCUCUACGGCCUGAACAACAUGUUCGGGCAAAUUCCAAUCGUCGGACUGUUCCUUGGCGGCGGCAGCAAUGAAGGCUUGAUCGGCAUCACCUACGAAGUCGUCGGAACGCCCGGUGCGCCGGUUCUCAGGGUCAAUCCGAUUUCGGCGAUGGCGCCCGGCGUGUUCCGCAAGAUCUNUUCAACACUGGCCGGCAGGCCGUUCCCACCGACCUCACCACGCCCCAGCAGUGACAGCAUUUNUGACAGCAUUUCAGGUUCAGGAUCCGGAUUUCGAGGCGCGCGUCCGAAAGACAUUCGCCGG
Molecule: unclassified non-coding RNA, 323 nt
Filed under: Hevea brasiliensis (rubber tree)
Lineage: Eukaryota; Viridiplantae; Streptophyta; Magnoliopsida; Malpighiales; Euphorbiaceae
Source: RNAcentral